AGAGUUGAUCCUGGCUAGGACGAACGCUGGCGGCACGCUUAACACAUGCAAGUCGAACGGAGUUGUAUUAGCUUGCUAAUAUAACUUAGUGGCGGACGGGUGAGUAACACGUGAGCAACCUGCCUUCGAGAGUGGAAUAAUGUCUGGAAACGGACACUAAUACCGCAUGACAUAACCGGACCGCAUGAUCUGGUUAUCAAAGAUUUAUCGCUCGAAGAUGGGCUCGCGUCCGAUUAGCUGGUUGGUGAGGUAACGGCUCACCAAGGCGACGAUCGGUAGCCGUACUGAGAGGUAGAACGGCCACAUUGGGACUGAGACACGGCCCAGACUCCUACGGGAGGCAGCAGUGGGGAAUAUUGCACAAUGGAAGGAAACUCUGAUGACAGCGAUGCCGCGUGAGGGAAGAAGGCUAUUUUUGUUGUAAACCUCUGUUAUCAGGGACGAUAAUGACGGUACCUGAGGAGGAAGCUCCGGCUAACUACGUGCCAGCCGCCGC
This 496-nucleotide ribosomal RNA is filed under the name uncultured bacterium. Its description in RNAcentral is "bacterial SSU rRNA". It matches the Rfam family "Bacterial small subunit ribosomal RNA", at positions 9 to 518 of the family's 1533-position model. The record is from RNAcentral.